UGCCAGACUCCUACGGGAGGCAGCAGUGAGGAAUAUUGGUCAAUGGGCGCGAGCCUGAACCAGCCAAGUCGCGUGAAGGAUGACGGCCCUACGGGUUGUAAACUUCUUUUGUCAGGGAGCAAUUGAGUCCACGUGUGGGCUUAGCGAGAGUACCUGAAGAAAAAGCAUCGGCUAACUCCGUGCCAGCAGCCGCGGUAAUACGGAGGAUGCGAGCGUUAUCCGGAUUUAUUGGGUUUAAAGGGUGCGUAGGCGGAAUAUCAAGUCAGCGGUAAAAAUUCGGGGCUCAACCCCGUCGUGCCGUUGAAACUGGCAGUCUCGAGUUGGAGAGAAGUAUGCGGAAUGCGCGGUGUAGCGGUGAAAUGCAUAGAUAUCGCGCAGAACUCCGAUUGCGAAGGCAGCAUGCCGGCUCCACACUGACGCUGAGGCACGAAAGCGUGGGUAUCGAACAGGAUUAGAUACCCCGGUAU
RNAcentral lists this ribosomal RNA (467 nucleotides) under uncultured bacterium. Its description in RNAcentral is "bacterial SSU rRNA". It matches the Rfam family "Bacterial small subunit ribosomal RNA", at positions 329 to 793 of the family's 1533-position model. The record is from RNAcentral.